UUGCAGCUUUCCUAACUGGAAUUAGGACUGUAAUUACUCCUGGUGGUUUUUGUGACCCAGAAGAUUCAAGAAAAUUUGAAGCUGUAGGAUCUUUGGAAGCCAAAAGAAUCUUUGAGGGCUGCCAUGUAGAUGAAUCCUAUCAUCUUGAUUGGACCCCAAAUUUCUCACCAUGUGCCUCUUAACUACAGUAUAUAUGGCUGCUUCUGAAGAUGGCACAAUUAAGAAGAUGACUAUUUUAAUUGAGGAGCUACUGAAUAAAGCUGUGAUUCUUUACUUUUGGGGAAGUUUUUUCUGUUUUUGUUUGUUUGUUUGUUUUUUGUUUGUUUGUUUUUGCUUCUGGACAUUUGCUUUCCUUUCAAUAAACCGCUGUUCCUCUGGAAUACAAAAGAAAGGAUUGUAAUGAUUCCUUAGGAUUUUCUACAUAAGAUCAUAUAAUCGAUC
Molecule: long non-coding RNA, 441 nt
Filed under: Homo sapiens (human)
Lineage: Eukaryota; Metazoa; Chordata; Mammalia; Primates; Hominidae
Description: HSALNT0249716
Source: RNAcentral